Molecule: transfer RNA, 69 nt
Filed under: Triticum aestivum (bread wheat)
Lineage: Eukaryota; Viridiplantae; Streptophyta; Magnoliopsida; Poales; Poaceae
Also listed under: 1 other name
Rfam family: tRNA
About the family: Transfer RNA (tRNA) molecules are approximately 80 nucleotides in length. Their secondary structure includes four short double-helical elements and three loops (D, anti-codon, and T loops).
Source: Rfam by way of RNAcentral
UCCACUGCUUAGUUGGUAAAGCACAAAGCUUUUAACCUUGUGGACGUGGGUUCAAGCCCUAUGAUGGAA